Molecule: non-coding RNA, 77 nt
Filed under: human gut metagenome
Also listed under: 1 other name
Description: Cyclic di-GMP-I riboswitch
Rfam family: c-di-GMP-I riboswitch aptamer
About the family: GEMM was predicted in a large-scale screen for bacterial structured RNA regulatory elements.
Source: RNAcentral
AAUAUAAGGGCAAAGUUUGCGAAAGCAUACGACGCAAAACUAUAGGGUCUUCAAGUUUAUUAUGACAGCCAGUUGCA